GAAAAGAAAGCAAAAGCGAUUCCCCAAGUAACGGCGAGUGAACAGGGAUAAGCCUAGCGCUAAGGCUUAAUGUGGGUGUGUCAUAGCAAUCAAUUGAAAAGCAUUAAGCGGUGCAGCGUUACAAACCUUGGUGUUUAGUAAUAUCAAUGUAGUGUUUACUUGCAAUUGGGCAACUAAUUGUCUGUAUGCAUUGCUUUGGGCCUAGCGUACAAGUCCCAUUGACUUGGGCUUAUUCUUCAAUUGAGAUGUCUACGAGUUUGGGGCAACUUGGACUCGUGGAUGAGCCAUAGAGGGUGAAAGUCCCUUAAUGCGCAGGUAUUGGUAUUACGAACCGGGGCAGUGGCGUUUGGUCAAACAAACGUUGCGAUUUGUUAGAGUCAGGUUGCUUGAGAGUGCAACCUAAAGAGCGAGGUAAACUGCUCGUAAGGCUAUUUAAAUACGGCUACGACACCGAUAGCAAACAAGUACCGUGAGGGAAAGUUGCAAAGUACUUUGAAGAGAGAGUUAAACAGGGCGUGAAACCGCUAGCUGGUAAACGAGUGGAGCCACGAAGUCGUUUCGUAGAAUACGAGGUGCAAAUUCAGCUAAGGUCCCUAAAAAGGCUUUGGCGUAUUUUUGCUUGCCUCGCUACUGUAAGCGUACACUGCAACCAAUUAGACGGCCAAUUGUGGAACGAGUUUGCAAGUUUAACAGGGAAACUUGUUGCUUGUAAGCGAAAUUAUUUGUGUAUUUACUGUAGGUAGCCUGAAUAUACUUUCGAGUUUAUUUGGGUGUCUGACAAUUAACGUAAAUACGUGAACUACAAUUGGGCACUGAUUGGCGAAAUGAAAAUCGAUUCGUAAGAUUCGUGCAUUCAUAGAAAGCGAUUGGCAUUGUUAUUAUAAUACAAUUGUACACUACUAGUACAAGCUUAGUAUUUUUGAAUUCAGGCGCGUGUAUUGUCAAUGGGCUUGCUUGUUGAUAUAUGCGAUGUUUCCUGUCUAAUCGGGUAUUAACUUUACUGGCAGUUUGAUACAAUUGCUACGAUAGUUGUGAUACAGUAGCUAAUUUGCAAUCAUGGCA
Molecule: ribosomal RNA, 1062 nt
Filed under: Retracrus johnstoni
Lineage: Eukaryota; Metazoa; Arthropoda; Arachnida; Trombidiformes; Phytoptidae
Description: eukaryotic LSU rRNA
Rfam family: Eukaryotic large subunit ribosomal RNA
Source: RNAcentral